UAAUAUAAGUGGCUUAAUUUAUUAAAAGUAAGCUUAUUAUGAAAAUAAUCAUAAAAAACUAACACAAGACGCGAAACGAAGUGAGCUUAGGUAGACCAGGGGGAAGGUUGCCGGAAGGUAGUUGGACGCCCGAAGUGGUAUGCGUUGCAACGCAUUCAUAUGAGUUUAUCUAAGUGGCGAAAUACCAAUCGAACUUCGAAAUAUCUCGUUUUUUGCGAAACCUUUUUAGGAAGGGGGCCUGCAGAAUAAAUGCUAACUAGGUAGAGCGCUGUAAAACUGAUGGGAAGGAAACUUUUACUGAGGUGUUGCAAACCACAAAUUAGGAGCAUUUUGCCAGGUACUCAGUCAGUGCGGGACAAGCUGCAUUUGACAAGAAGGAAACAGCCUAGACUAUUAAUUAAGGCCCGUAAAUAGCGCUAAGUGAGAAAGUAAUUAACUUCACAAAAAUUAGUAGGACGUUUGAUUAGCAGCAUCUACCGUUUAAAGAAAGCGUAAUAGCUCACUACUAUAGUUUAGUUGUUGCGAAAAUUUAGCCGGACUAAGCGCUAUGCCGAAAUUAUAGCUAACUGGGGUUUAGCAGAAUAUAACAAUAAAGCCAGUUAGAGUAGCAAAACGAACCAUGUUGACAAAAUUAUGUCGGUAAGACUUAAUGAAAAUAUUGGUUGUGAAUAUAUCAGCUAGAGUAACAUAUAAAUUGGGAUUCUUAAUUAAUGCAGCUUUGUAUAAAUUGUUUUUUUCUAAUAAUGAUAUUACUUGUUAUAUACAAAGGUGUAUUAAUUCAGAACAGUAUCUCAAUGAUCGGAAAUCCUGGGUUUUCUACACAACUAUUAAAGAUGUAGUUAAAAAUACGGUCCCUAAGUAUUAUAAAGGUUACGAUGGGUACUUGCUGUGUCCAACAAAACCUUAUUGAUAGGUCUGUUGCAGGAAACAGUAGCAAGACAUUACGCUACGCGUAGCAUAAUAUUUGUUUUACGCGUAUUAUAAGCACCGUACUAAAACUGACUCUGGUGGAUUGGUAGAUUUUACUAAGAUUUGGUUAUAAUCGCUCGUAAGGAACUCGGCAAAUUGCGCUGGUACUUUCGAAAACAGCGGUCUAAAAGUGGUGUUUUAGAUCUCAGAUAAGAGAACUGGGUGACAGUUUACUAAAAACUUAGCGUCCUGCCAAUUUGAAACAAGACGUAUAGGAUGUGACGUUUGCUAACGGCCACUAAUUUAAGUAAUCUGUUGUAAAAGAUAGAUCAACAAGAUGUGGUGACGAGCGGCCGUAACUAUAACGGUCAUAAAGUAGCGAAAUUCCUAGGCAUUUAAUUGGUGUCCUGCAUGAAUAACGUAACAACCUGGUUGCUGUCUCGCGAGCGAAAACCGUGAAAUAAGAAUAUCGGUUAAAAUACCGAUUAGGCUGUCUUAGACGAUAAGACCCUGUGAAGCUUUACUGUAACCUAACAUUGCGAUCGGUUUUUUAUCUUACAGUUAGGCGGGAGGUAACGACAAUGGAAAACCGCUAGAUAAUAAAUUGGUCGCUUUUAUAUAAGAUUACUUUUUAAUCUAUAAGAUAUUUAUAUAAGUAGCUUCAUAGAGCAUCUGUUAUGCGAAUAAAAGGCACUAUAUGUAAGUAGGCCUUAUAUAAAACACUUUAAUUAACAAAGAUCGAAGACAGUGUUAGGUGGGCAGUUUACUUGGGGCGAGGUCUGGCUAAAAGGUAACGCCAGAGAGCAAAAGGUAUGCUCAGUAUUGUCGGAAACAAUACGUAGAGCGUAAUAGUAUAAGCAUGCCUGAUUAUAAGACUGACAAGUCGAAUAAAGACGAAAGUCUGCUAUAGUGACCCUCACACGCUAUGUGGAAAGGUGUGAGAUCAACGAAUCAAAGUUACUCCAGGGAUAACAGGGUAGUCCUGGCUUAUAGUUCUUAUAGACGCCAGGGUUCGCCACCUCGAUGUUGCCUCAGGUCAUCCUGGAGCUGAACAAGGUUCCAAGGGCGCAACUGUUCUUUGCAUAAUGACCUACGUGAGGUGAGUUUAAACCGCCGUAAGGCAGGUUUGGUUCUAUCUAGACAGCCAUACUAUUUAACCAAGCACUAGAGUUCCACUGUACGAAAGGACCCGGAAUUCCACGCCAAUGGUUUAGCAAUUGUUUUGAAAAAAGCAUGGUUGCAACGCUAAGCGUGAAAUGUUAAUUGCUGAAAAACUAUCAAGCAAGAAACAAUUGUAAAGGUUAUAGGAGAUCGCAUUUGCGUAAAUAGGCGCGGGGUGUACGCUUUGUAAUAAGCUCAGCUACCGCGUACUAAUUUUUUUUUUUU
This 2295-nucleotide ribosomal RNA is filed under the name Ulva fenestrata. RNAcentral describes it as "large subunit ribosomal RNA". It matches the Rfam family "Bacterial large subunit ribosomal RNA", at positions 629 to 2925 of the family's 2925-position model. The record is from RNAcentral. Lineage: Eukaryota; Viridiplantae; Chlorophyta; Ulvophyceae; Ulvales; Ulvaceae.